Molecule: long non-coding RNA, 282 nt
Filed under: Mytilus galloprovincialis (Mediterranean mussel)
Lineage: Eukaryota; Metazoa; Mollusca; Bivalvia; Mytilida; Mytilidae
Source: RNAcentral
UACAGUGCAGGCGAUUUGGUGUCACGAUAUCUCAGUAGCAUGGAUUCUAAUCACGGCGAGGGAAGAACACAAAAAUUGUGAAAGCAAAUUUACAGAUCUAACAUUGUCUAGUUGAUGUUUAGACGAGUUGUAUAUACAUAAUGUACACAGCCAUGUAUCCCCAUCACUGCUGGUGAUCCGAUGGAUAAAUCUGUUGUAGAGUUGUCACUGGCUCAGACGUACUUAUAAAUAUAAUUAUUUUCUGUGACUGUAUCUUACAUGAAUUUGUAGGAUCCUUUACUA